AAGCGCUUAUGACCAGACUUGUGCCGUGCGGAUCAUCCAGUGUUCUCACUGGUGCACUCCGCUCGGUUCAGGCCAGCAUCGGUUCUGGAGGGGGCAUAAAGGCCGCAGGAACGUAGCUCUUCGGAGUGUUAUAGCCUGUGGUGUAAUACCCCCGCUGGGACCGAGGACCGCGCUCUGCAAGGAUGCUGGCGUAAUGGUCAUCAGCGA
RNAcentral lists this ribosomal RNA (207 nucleotides) under Pseudodactylaria hyalotunicata. RNAcentral describes it as "Dactylaria hyalotunicata partial large subunit ribosomal RNA". The record is from RNAcentral. Lineage: Eukaryota; Fungi; Ascomycota; Sordariomycetes.